AAGGUGUUGUCGUUAAUAGCGGCUUCAUUUGACGUUACCUACAGAAGAAGCACCGGCUAACUCCGUGCCAGCAGCCGCGGUAAUACGGAGGGUGCGAGCGUUAAUCGGAAUUACUGGGCGUAAAGCGCAUGCAGGUGGUUCAUUAAGUCAGAUGUGAAAGCCCGGGGCUCAACCUCGGAACCGCAUUUGAAACUGGUGAACUAGAGUGCUGUAGAGGGGGGUAGAAUUUCAGGUGUAGCGGUGAAAUGCGUAGAGAUCUGAAGGAAUACCAGUGGCGAAGGCGGCCCCCUGGACAGACACUGACACUCAGAUGCGAAAGCGUGGGGAGCAAACAGGAUUAGAUACCCUGGUAGUCCACGCCGUAAACGAUGUCUACUUGGAGGUUGUGGCCUUGAGCCGUGGCUUUCGGAGCUAACGCGUUAAGUAGACCGCCUGGGGAGUACGGUCGCAAGAUUAAAACUCAAAUGAAUUGACGGGGGCCCGCACAAGCGGUGGAGCAUGUGGUUUAAUUCGAUGCAACGCGAAGAACCUUACCUACUCUUGACAUCCAGAGAAUUCGCUAGAGAUAGCUUAGUGCCUUCGGGAGCUCUGAGACAGGUGCUGCAUGGCUGUCGUCAGCUCGUGUUGUGAAAUGUUGGGUUAAGUCCCGCAACGAGCGCAACCCUUAUCCUUGUUUGCCAGCACGUAAUGGUGGGAACUCCAGGGAGACUGCCGGUGAUA
This 720-nucleotide ribosomal RNA is filed under the name Aliivibrio fischeri. RNAcentral describes it as "bacterial SSU rRNA". It matches the Rfam family "Bacterial small subunit ribosomal RNA", at positions 445 to 1160 of the family's 1533-position model. Lineage: Bacteria; Pseudomonadati; Pseudomonadota; Gammaproteobacteria; Vibrionales; Vibrionaceae. The record is from RNAcentral.